CAGAAGUCUGUCAUCAUUCAUGGGUGAGUAGUGAUCAGCUGUGUUAUUGUGACAGUGAUUUAAUUUAAAUCCUUCCUUUGCCCUCUCCGGUAGCAGCUCUGUAUUUUCAGGAAGAAAGAGAAUGGGAAACAACUUUUUUAAUGAAGUACAGCAUUUAAAUUCUCUUUAUAUUUCAUCCUAUCUGGAGCUCUUUACCCAAAUGAAGCAGAAAGCGUUUACAGCUGUAUUUUCCAUCACACCAACCAAGGAAUAUAUUCAUUUGCAGUAACAUGGUGCUCAAUGAAGUGGAAAAUAGGCUCCAAAAAUUGCUACUGCUAUGAAACUGUCUCAAUAACUAGGAAAAGCCCGUUUGGAUUCUACUGACCAGUCACGUAGUUAUGAUAAAAAUUAAUUUGGUCGAACACUUGAACUGUGGCAGAGUAGACGCUUGGCCCUGAGAUAGCUCUGCUUAGGGCCCAGCUCAGAACCGGGCUUGGGACUGCCUCCCCUGCCUCUGCUCUCCCACCCUCCUGCUUCUCAGCUUCAUUUGUCCAGGAGACCUGGCUGAGAGUCCAGCACGCUCACCAUGUCCUCUUCUCUACUGGCUGUUGAUCAGGCCUCUUCCUGCCGUAUCCACUGCUGGCUUCUGGCAAUGGAGGAGUCACCAAAAUUGCUCCUUCUGCUGAUAGGAGCGUGAAGCAAGGUAGAUGUGCGGCAGACACCGUUCCUGCAUGGGAGAGCAAUGUCCAGAGGGUGGACUCCAAAGGGCCAUCAGGGUGGCACAUGGUGGGGGGAUACAGGGAGCCCCUCUGCCCUUCUGUCCUGGGAUGAAGGCGCUCCUCGAAGAGACACCCAUGGAGCUGUGACCUCCCCCUGUGCAUUGUAUUACCAGUGCAUGACUCUAACUGUGCCUUGUGUGGAUAUGCCUGCUGUUCUGGAGAUGACGUUAGAGCUGGCUGGAGCUGGACGUCAAAGAUGUCCUUCAUCCCUGUCAGAGGGUUUACAGGCUCCGCUCCGCAGCAAUCAUUAUCAGGAGCGAACGGGCCGCCUCGUCGCUUCGUCCGGCCUGGGCAGAGCCGAGAAAUAAUUCCCGAGGCCCUCGAAAAGUUUGCGCUGCCGGCACGAACCGCCGCGUCUGCCGGGGGCUGUGUGUAGCGGUUGCAAGCCAGGGAGCCGAGGCC
This 1160-nucleotide long non-coding RNA is filed under the name Struthio camelus australis. Its description in RNAcentral is "lncRNA (ENSSCUG00000005015.1)". The record is from RNAcentral. Lineage: Eukaryota; Metazoa; Chordata; Aves; Struthioniformes; Struthionidae.